This is a long non-coding RNA of Triticum dicoccoides, 567 nucleotides long. RefSeq lists it as uncharacterized. NCBI's taxonomy places the organism in Eukaryota, Viridiplantae, Streptophyta, Magnoliopsida, Poales, Poaceae. The record is from RefSeq and is a predicted model, not a curated record. The transcript is spliced from 4 exons.
UACGUUUCUUCUCUCCUAGAGAUUUAUGCUUCUUCUCUCCAUGCCCGUACAUCUCUCUUCCAUGAGACUUACGUGCAGCCGUCGCCAAAAUACAUCUCAUCCAACUCAUCAGCGGAAGUUCAAUAGCAGUUCACGCCAGAUCCCAAAUCCAACUCAUCGGCAUCGGCAAUCGGCAAUGGUUAAUGGUAGAUCGGCGUCGGAAAUCGUCAUUGGUUAACGGCGGAUCGGUAUCGGCAAUCGGCAAUGGUUAACGGCGGAUCGGCAUCGGCAUCGGAAGUGGUUAAUGGUAGAUCGGCAUCGACAGUGGUUAAUGACAGAUCAUGUCAAAUCGGUGGAUGGCAUCCAGCGCUGGAUGCACACAUGCAGCGUGAUGCAAGAUCGAUGGCCUAUCAAGACUGGCCGCGGGGCUGUGUUCAACAUCGACCUUGCCGUGAUGCCCGACACAUCAGCGCCUCCUGCGUACCGCCGGGCAUGGACAUCUCCUCAACAGGUCAAACGGAUUAUAAUAGCAUUAUGCUUCUUAGGUACACGAGAGAUUCAUAAUCAUAUACCCAUUGGUCAGUGUCA